UACGAAGGGGGGCUAGCGUUGCUCGGAAUCACUGGGCGUAAAGGGCGCGUAGGCGGCGUUUUAAGUCGGGGGUGAAAGCCUGUGGCUCAACCACAGAAUGGCCUUCGAUAUUGGGACGCUUGAGUAUGGUAGAGGUUGGUGGAACUGCGAGUGUAGAGGUGAAAUUCGUAGAUAUUCGCAAGAACACCGGUGGCGAAGGCGGCCAACUGGACCAUUACUGACGCUGAGGCGCGAAAGCGUGGGGAGCAAACAGG
Molecule: ribosomal RNA, 254 nt
Filed under: uncultured bacterium
Lineage: Bacteria
Description: partial 16S ribosomal RNA
Rfam family: Bacterial small subunit ribosomal RNA
Source: RNAcentral